CACCUAGUGGGGAAACGACAUCUCACAUUUAAAGAACACCAGGCGUUUCUACACAGCGGGGGAAGGAAAUCCGUCCUGAUUUUAAACUUUGGCACAGCUGUGAAACCGAGGGUAGUGAACUCUGAGGAGAGGACUCUUUUCUGGACAUACAUUUAACGUCCGUGAAAGCCUCAGACCCCCUGAGCACACCUGCCUAGCCGUGUUGUGGACGAACAAGGGCUGACGAAAUGCCUGUGGAGGCUGAUUUCACCGGAGUCAGGGGAAGUCAGUCUAAGCAAAGAGCAGGGGCACGGAUGAAAAUAACAGAACAGUGACCCAGAAUCCUGGCUGUGGCCUCAUGAAACAGGUGCUGUUAAAAUCAGCUGCAUUGGAAACAGCCGAGUCAGGCAACGAAGGCACAGAG
This 403-nucleotide long non-coding RNA is filed under the name Homo sapiens (human). RNAcentral's name for it is "HSALNT0387735". The record is from RNAcentral. Lineage: Eukaryota; Metazoa; Chordata; Mammalia; Primates; Hominidae.